RNAcentral lists this ribosomal RNA (444 nucleotides) under uncultured Coriobacteriaceae bacterium. RNAcentral's name for it is "bacterial SSU rRNA". It matches the Rfam family "Bacterial small subunit ribosomal RNA", at positions 338 to 795 of the family's 1533-position model. The record is from RNAcentral. Lineage: Bacteria; Bacillati; Actinomycetota; Coriobacteriia; Coriobacteriales; Coriobacteriaceae.
CCUACGGGGGGCAGCAGUGGGGAAUCUUGCACAAUGGGCGAAAGCCUGAUGCAGCGACGCCGCGUGCGGGAUGAAGGCCUUCGGGUUGUAAACCGCUUUCAGCAGGGACGAGGCGAAAGUGACGGUACCUGCAGAAGAAGCCCCGGCUAACUACGUGCCAGCAGCCGCGGUAAUACGUAGGGGGCAAGCGUUAUCCGGAUUCAUUGGGCGUAAAGCGCUCGUAGGCGGCCUGUUAGGUCGGGAGUUAAAUCCGGGGGCUCAACCCCCGUCCGCUCCCGAUACCGGCGGGCUUGAGUCUGGUAGGGGAAGGCGGAAUUCCCAGUGUAGCGGUGGAAUGCGCAGAUAUUGGGAAGAACACCGGUGGCGAAGGCGGCCUUCUGGGCCACGACUGACGCUGAGGCGCGAAAGCUAGGGGAGCGAACAGGAUUAGAUACCCGGGUAGUC